GAUCAUGGCUCAGGAUGAACGCUGGCGGCAUGCCUAAUACAUGCAAGUCGAACGGGAGUGCUUGCACUCCAGUGGCGAACGGGUGAGUAAUACAUAGGUAACCUGUCCUUAAGACGAGGAUAGCUUCUAGAAAUGGAAGAUAAAACUGGAUAGGACAUCACAAAUCACAUGAUUAGAUGUUUAAAAGAGCAAUCUACUUAAGGAGGGGCCUGUGGCGCAUUAGCCAGAUGGCGGGGUAAUGGCCCACCAUAGCGAUGAUGCGUAGCCGGUCUGAGAGGACGAACGGCCACAUUGGGACUGAGACACGGCCCAGACUCCUACGGGAGGCAGCAGUAGGGAAUUUUCGGCAAUGGGCGGAAGCCUGAACCCGAGCAAUGCCGCGUGAAUGAAGAAGUAUUUCGGUAUGUAAAGUUCUUUUAUUUGGGACGAAAAAACAAAUUGACGGUACCAAAUGAAUAAGCCCCGGCUAACUAUGUGCCAGCAGCGGC
RNAcentral lists this ribosomal RNA (488 nucleotides) under uncultured bacterium. RNAcentral's name for it is "bacterial SSU rRNA". It matches the Rfam family "Bacterial small subunit ribosomal RNA", at positions 15 to 518 of the family's 1533-position model. The record is from RNAcentral.